GAUGAACGCUGGCGGCGUGCCUAAUACAUGCAAGUCGAGCGAACAGACGAGGAGCUUGCUCCUCUGACGUUAGCGGCGGACGGGUGAGUACACGUGGAUAACCUACCUAUAAGACUGGGAUAACUUCGGGAAACCGGAGCUAAUACCGGAUAAUAUAUUGAACCGCAUGGUUCAAUAGUGAAAGACGGUUUUGCUGUCACUUAUAGAUGGAUCCGCGCCGCAUUAGCUAGUUGGUAAGGUAACGGCUUACCAAGGCAACGAUGCGUAGCCGACCUGAGAGGGUGAUCGGCCACACUGGAACUGAGACACGGUCCAGACUCCUACGGGAGGCAGCAGUAGGGAAUCUUCCGCAAUGGGCGAAAGCUUGACGGAGCAACGCCGCGUGAGUGAUGAAGGUCUUCGGAUCGUAAAACUCUGUUAUUAGGGAAGAACAAAUGUGUAAGUAACUAUGCACGUCUUGACGGUACCUAAUCAGAAAGCCACGGCUAACUACGUG
Molecule: ribosomal RNA, 496 nt
Filed under: uncultured bacterium
Lineage: Bacteria
Description: partial 16S ribosomal RNA
Rfam family: Bacterial small subunit ribosomal RNA
Source: RNAcentral